This 72-nucleotide transfer RNA is filed under the name Chloroflexota bacterium. Its description in RNAcentral is "Chloroflexi bacterium tRNA-Arg". It matches the Rfam family "tRNA". Rfam says of the family: Transfer RNA (tRNA) molecules are approximately 80 nucleotides in length. Their secondary structure includes four short double-helical elements and three loops (D, anti-codon, and T loops). RNAcentral also lists the same sequence under 2 other names. The record is from RNAcentral. Lineage: Bacteria; Bacillati; Chloroflexota.
GCCCCCGUAGCUCAGUGGAUAGAGUAUUGGCCUCCGAAGCCGAGGACCGCAGUUCGAGCCUGCGCGGGGGCA